Molecule: ribosomal RNA, 301 nt
Filed under: uncultured bacterium
Lineage: Bacteria
Description: partial 16S ribosomal RNA
Rfam family: Bacterial small subunit ribosomal RNA
Source: RNAcentral
CAGUAGCCGCGGGAAUACGUAGGGUGCGAGCGUUAAUCGGAAUUACUGGGCGUAAAGCGUGCGCAGGCGGUUUUGUAAGACAGGCGUGAAAUCCCCGGGCUCAACCUGGGAAUGGCGCUUGUGACUGCAAAGCUAGAGUGCGGCAGAGGGGGAUGGAAUUCCGCGUGUAGCAGUGAAAUGCGUAGAUAUGCGGAGGAACACCGAUGGCGAAGGCAAUCCCCUGGGCCUGCACUGACGCUCAUGCACGAAAGCGUGGGGAGCAAACAGGAUUAGAUACCCCCGUAGUCCCUGUCUCUUAUAC